RNAcentral lists this ribosomal RNA (1176 nucleotides) under Curtobacterium sp. RNAcentral's name for it is "bacterial SSU rRNA". It matches the Rfam family "Bacterial small subunit ribosomal RNA", at positions 158 to 1347 of the family's 1533-position model. Lineage: Bacteria; Bacillati; Actinomycetota; Actinomycetes; Micrococcales; Microbacteriaceae. The record is from RNAcentral.
GACGUCUAAUACUGGAUAUGAUCACUGGCCGCAUGGUCUGGUGGUGGAAAGAUUUUUUGGUUGGGGAUGGACUCGCGGCCUAUCAGCUUGUUGGUGAGGUAAUGGCUCACCAAGGCGACGACGGGUAGCCGGCCUGAGAGGGUGACCGGCCACACUGGGACUGAGACACGGCCCAGACUCCUACGGGAGGCAGCAGUGGGGAAUAUUGCACAAUGGGCGAAAGCCUGAUGCAGCAACGCCGCGUGAGGGAUGACGGCCUUCGGGUUGUAAACCUCUUUUAGUAGGGAAGAAGCGAGAGUGACGGUACCUGCAGAAAAAGCACCGGCUAACUACGUGCCAGCAGCCGCGGUAAUACGUAGGGUGCAAGCGUUGUCCGGAAUUAUUGGGCGUAAAGAGCUCGUAGGCGGUUUGUCGCGUCUGCUGUGAAAUCCCGAGGCUCAACCUCGGGCUUGCAGUGGGUACGGGCAGACUAGAGUGCGGUAGGGGAGAUUGGAAUUCCUGGUGUAGCGGUGGAAUGCGCAGAUAUCAGGAGGAACACCGAUGGCGAAGGCAGAUCUCUGGGCCGUAACUGACGCUGAGGAGCGAAAGCGUGGGGAGCGAACAGGAUUAGAUACCCUGGUAGUCCACGCCGUAAACGUUGGGCGCUAGAUGUAGGGACCUUUCCACGGUUUCUGUGUCGUAGCUAACGCAUCAAGCGCCCCGCCUGGGGAGUACGGCCGCAAGGCUAAAACUCAAAGGAAUUGACGGGGGCCCGCACAAGCGGCGGAGCAUGCGGAUUAAUUCGAUGCAACGCGAAGAACCUUACCAAGGCUUGACAUACACCGGAAACGGCCAGAGAUGGUCGCCCCCUUGUGGUCGGUGUACAGGUGGUGCAUGGUUGUCGUCAGCUCGUGUCGUGAGAUGUUGGGUUAAGUCCCGCAACGAGCGCAACCCUCGUUCUAUGUUGCCAGCGCGUUAUGGCGGGGACUCAUAGGAGACUGCCGGGGUCAACUCGGAGGAAGGUGGGGAUGACGUCAAAUCAUCAUGCCCCUUAUGUCUUGGGCUUCACGCAUGCUACAAUGGCCGGUACAAAGGGCUGCGAUACCGUAAGGUGGAGCGAAUCCCAAAAAGCCGGUCUCAGUUCGGAUUGAGGUCUGCAACUCGACCUCAUGAAGUCGGAGUCGCUAGUAAUCGCAG